RNAcentral lists this long non-coding RNA (1103 nucleotides) under Vulpes vulpes (red fox). Its description in RNAcentral is "lncRNA (ENSVVUG00000029103.1)". The record is from RNAcentral. Lineage: Eukaryota; Metazoa; Chordata; Mammalia; Carnivora; Canidae.
AGGAGCUGCCAGGACAUCCCCUUGCUCUUACAGAAAGUCAUCCCCAGAUGGGGCGGGGAGGGAGAGACAACACAACACCCCCCCCCACCCCCCACCAGAACCCUGGUCCUGGAGACUCCAUGUCGUCUUGCCCUCUGCUGAGACGGAUAGCCAACAGCACCCCGUCCGAUACUUAGAGCUCAGUCACACCUGACCACAGGCACAGAUCAAGAAACUGAGGCCCAGAAUGGAGAAAAGAAUUAACUAGAACAACCAUCUCUGGAAUAACUUCAUUUGCCAGGACUGUGGCAUUCCUCUGUGGCUCUGAAGUGUGGCUUGCUCCUGACUCCAGAAGCAGGCGUCCCAGACAUUGGGGAAGAAGGAGGAGAUGUUCUCUCAGGCCACCUCCCAGAGGAGAUGUGGACUGUGCCUGCAGACCCUUCCAUUUCCUACCAAGUGUGGGACAGGUGGGCCAGAUCGUGUCCACGUUUGGAGAUGGCAUUAGAGGGGAUGUGGUUCAGCUUCUACGGCUCCCCUGCCUGGGAGAUUGGGAUGGAGAGAGCCCUUUGCCCCUGAGCCCACUUGAGCUGCUUUCCUCAGGCUGCCUUGCCCUCAGAACCUCGGGACCAGAGGGUGAGCCUGCCUCCUGUGGGCCACAACCCUCUCAAGAAGGGCAAGAAGCCCACCAGCCCUGCGGGGAGAGGAGCAUUGAGGGGAUUAAAUAAAUUGGCACUUAAUUUUUUUUUAAUUCAUUUUUUUUUCUUUUUUUUUUAAAAAUUUAUUUAUGAUAGUCACAGAGAGAGAGAGAGAGAGAGAGGCAGAGACACAGGCGGAGGAAGAAGCAGGCUCCAUGCACAGGGAGCCUGAUGUGGGAUUCGAUCCCGAGUCUCCAGGAUCGCGUCCUGGGCCAAAGGCAGGCGCCAAACCGCUGCGCCACCCAGGGAUCCCAAUUGGCACUUAAUUAACAACAUCACAUUUCCAGAAGCAGUCCCCCCUUAUCUGUGGGCUUAUCCCCCAGUGGAUGCUGAAACUGCGGAUAGCACUGAAGCUUCUAUACACUAUGUUUUUUCCUACACAUACAUGUCCAUGAUAAAGUUUAAUUUAUAAAUUAGGCACAGUAAUAG